RNAcentral lists this transfer RNA (64 nucleotides) under Quadrella coronata. Its description in RNAcentral is "tRNA-Thr". The record is from RNAcentral. Lineage: Eukaryota; Metazoa; Arthropoda; Malacostraca; Decapoda; Trapeziidae.
GUUCUGAUAGUUUAAAAAAAACUUAGGUCUUGUAAACCUAUAAUGAAAUAAUUUUCUCAAAACU